Molecule: ribosomal RNA, 528 nt
Filed under: uncultured bacterium
Lineage: Bacteria
Description: partial 16S ribosomal RNA
Rfam family: Bacterial small subunit ribosomal RNA
Source: RNAcentral
UGGGGAAUUUUGGACAAUGGGCGAAAGCCUGAUCCAGCAAUGCCGCGUGUGUGAAGAAGGCCUUCGGGUUGUAAAGCACUUUUGUCCGGAAAGAAAUCCUUGGCUCUAAUACAGUCGGGGGAUGACGGUACCGGAAGAAUAAGCACCGGCUAACUACGUGCCAGCAGCCGCGGUAAUACGUAGGGUGCAAGCGUUAAUCGGAAUUACUGGGCGUAAAGCGUGCGCAGGCGGUUUGCUAAGACCGAUGUGAAAUCCCCGGGCUCAACCUGGGAACUGCAUUGGUGACUGGCAGGCUAGAGUAUGGCAGAGGGGGGUAGAAUUCCACGUGUAGCAGUGAAAUGCGUAGAGAUGUGGAGGAAUACCGAUGGCGAAGGCAGCCCCCUGGGCCAAUACUGACGCUCAUGCACGAAAGCGUGGGGAGCAAACAGGAUUAGAUACCCCUGGGUAGUCCACGCCCUAAAACGAUGUCAACUAGUUGUUGGGGAUUCAUUUCCUUAGUAACUAGCUAACGCGUGAAGUUGACCGCCU